RNAcentral lists this unclassified non-coding RNA (214 nucleotides) under rhizosphere metagenome. RNAcentral describes it as "partial ribosomal RNA internal transcribed spacer region". The record is from RNAcentral.
GUAGGUGAACCUGCGGAAGGAUCAUUACAGAGUUCAUGCCCUUACGGGUAGAUCUCCCACCCUUGAAUAUCUUACCUUUGUUGCUUUGGCGGGCCGCUUCGGCCACCGGCUUUCAGCUGGUGAGUGCCCGCCAGAGGACCCUAAACUCUGAAUUUAGUAUUGUCUGAGAACUAUAUAAUAGUUAAAACUUUCAACAACGGAUCUCUUGGUUCUG